ACAAGCGGCGGAGCAUGCGGAUUAAUUCGAUGCAACGCGAAGAACCUUACCAAGGCUUGACAUACACCGGUAACGCCCAGAGAUGGGUGCCCCUUUGUGGUCGGUGUACAGGUGGUGCAUGGUUGUCGUCAGCUCGUGUCGUGAGAUGUUGGGUUAAAGUCCCCGCAACGAGCGCAACCCUCGUCCUAUGUUGCCAGCGGGUCAUGCCGGGGACUCAUGGGAGACUGCCGGGGUCAACUCGGAGGAAGGUGGGGAUGACGUCAAAUCAUCAUGCCCCUUAUGUCUUGGGCUUCACGCAUGCUACAAUGGCCGGUACAAAGGGCUGCGAUACCGGCGAGGUGGAGCGAAUCCCAGAAAGCCGGUCUCAGUUCGGAUUGGGGUCUGCAACUCGACCCCAUGAAGUCGGAGUCGCUAGUAAUCGCAGAUCAGCAACGCUGCGGUGAAUACGUUCCCGGGCCUU
RNAcentral lists this ribosomal RNA (460 nucleotides) under uncultured Kribbia sp. Its description in RNAcentral is "bacterial SSU rRNA". It matches the Rfam family "Bacterial small subunit ribosomal RNA", at positions 925 to 1382 of the family's 1533-position model. The record is from RNAcentral. Lineage: Bacteria; Bacillati; Actinomycetota; Actinomycetes; Micrococcales; Intrasporangiaceae.